Molecule: long non-coding RNA, 2671 nt
Filed under: Nicotiana benthamiana
Lineage: Eukaryota; Viridiplantae; Streptophyta; Magnoliopsida; Solanales; Solanaceae
Description: long non-coding RNA (NBEN_LNC009317)
Source: RNAcentral
ACAGACACUUCCCCUUCGUCUCUCCCAGCGAACCCAAGCACACCCAAAAUCCUAGCGCCGCCGUGACACCCCAUCACCGACGGCAACCAUCCCUUUCACCACCAAAUCAAUACCCCUGAACCCCCUAACUCCCUUCUCCAUGAAUCCAUGCCCCAUUAACUUCGAAUCACAUUGUAGCUCCUCGAAUCUUCAAUCGAAGAUUCGAGUAAAAUAUGAAACCAUCCCAACCGGCCCCAAACUCACCCCAAUCACUCCCCUAGCCUCCCUCAUCACCAAAUCAUGGCUAUUUUGGUUCGAAUCUGACCCAAACUCCUCGAACCCCAAAUUCGAGCCUCAAGAAUCCUAGAAAAAUCGAGACUGGUUUUUGCCCGAUUUGAAGAACUUUGGGUGUUCAAUGGACUUUAGUUGAUGUGUUCUCAGUUGAGAACACUCAACUAAAGUACGUUUGGCCUCAAAAGUAUGAAACCCAUUUGGACCGAGGUCAUUUUCUUCUGGUUCUUUUUGAGGUAUCUUUUUUCCUUUUUUCUUCAAAUCUUCUGAUUGUUCCUAUGUUGUUUUUUUGUUUAGAUUCAUUGUAGUAACUAUUUUCCAAAUUUUUUCUUUUUAGCCGAAUGUUCUGUUCUUACCCCAUAAGACCUUUUCUUUGGUCAAUUGUAUUCUGUUUGUUGAUUGUGGUUGUCAUAGGAUACCAUUUUUGAUUCGAUUAAUAUCGUCGAAAAUUCAGUUUUGUAUUCUUCUUGUUUGUCCGAAUGCCAUGAGUCCACUGUUGGGUUUUGAUUAUUUGCUAUCGAUUAUAUGUUUGUAGUCGAUUAGGUAAAUGUUGUCGAUUAGUCGUAUAUGUUUGUUUUGUAGAACAAUAUUAACAAUAAUGUCAUUAAUGUUGUUGUCAAUCAUUUAACAUGAAUCACUGUUUUGGCCAGAAUUAUUGUUUGAAUUUAGGUUUAAAUUAGUUAUAGCUGAAGUUAGGAAGCUGAAUUGGCUAUAUCUGAAUUGAAUUUAGGUACAAUUUUAAUAGGGAUUUUCGGAGUUUAGUCUAAGCGGGCUGUCAGUUGAGCAUGUGUGAGUCAUUGGAGGUAAUCAUAGUGCAUAUACACCCUGUCUAACAUCUUUAGGAGUAAAGUCAGAUGUAGAUUGAUUUUAAUAUUGAAAAGCUGAAAAUGCACAUUAGAAUGGUAGUGGAACCUGCUGUACAGUAGGAUAUUCACUACACUUUUGUAUUCCAGAAAUUUUAAAAUAAGAAGCUCCUUACUUAGACAAUUUUAAGUUGAAAAACAGAAGAAUAAUAUGGAAUCUGUCAGUUUUUAAAUGAAGUUAACAGGUUGUACAGUUUGGCUAUAUAAGAGAAGGUUUCAGAUUAGUUGAGGGGAGGGGUUUUGAGAUCAGUUUUAGAAGUCUUUUGAUAAAUCAGAAAAAAGAUAUUCAAAACAGCAGAAGAAACCACUGUUUCCAUUCUUUCUUUCAGUCAGUUUUUUUUUGAAAAAUCAGAAAAAGGUUUUGAGAGCAAAAAAAACUGUUCCAUUGGUUUCUCUUCUUUGAGUUUGAAGUUUUUCAGUGAUUAUCUUUUGAUCCUUUUUCAAUUCUAAAAAAGAGACAAUAACUUGUGACUUACUUGGAGCUUUAUAGUGACUUGAUAUUGGUUUUCCUCUGGAAAUUUUAGGUGUAGAAGUGUUGAAACUAUUGUGUCAUUGGGUUUUGAGGAACAACUUCCUGGAAAUCCACUGUUCCAUUGAUUUCAGGAUUGAAGUGGUUGGUUUUGGUUUUGAAUCUGGGCUGUCCUAAGUUGCUGUUUACUGCUUCUAAUUGCUGCUGUUGGAUACUGCUUCCUCACUUCUUUUCAUAGUCAUAUUCCAGGUACACUAUUUGUCUCUAAUGAUGUGAAGCUUCACUCAUUGUACAUGAACAAUUGUGAAAUAAACUCGAUGCAGCAGUCCUACAAUACGAAUCUAUUUUUAUGUUCUCAUUAUUAGUUUAAUACGUAGCUGUAGUUUCAUUUGAAUAGAUAAUUAUUAACUUUAAACAGUUUGUAUUAACUAAGACUGCUCAAACUCAUCUUUGUAGUUGUCUUGAACUGUAUGAACUGUCAUAUCUUAGGUCUGUUAGAGCCUUUGAAUUGAAAAGCGAUUUCAUGUUAGGUUGAUAGAAUAGAUUAUGUUAAUUUAAUUUCUGUUAAGCUACUCCAUAUGUCUGUUAGUUAGCUGUAGUAUGACUGUCUUAGGAGUUGUCUAGGACUGUGUUGAAUUUCAAUAAAAGCAGAUGUCUUGCUCAAUGAUAGAAGAUUGUAGAUCUGUUAAGUUUUCAAGUUUAAUUUGCUUCCGGAAGUUAGUGUAGAAUGAGCACUAACUUUAAAAAUCAUAAUCUUCAAUUAGAAAUUCAAAGGUCAUGAUUUGUUAGUAACCAUAAUAUGGCUAGUUUGGGUGUCACCAAUGAAGUGAGGUAUAUGGUAUAACAAUCAUUUUAAGUUGCUACAACUUGCUCAUUACUCAAAUCGAAAAGGAAGAACAUCUAAUUACAUGUGCAUUCACGUAGCAUUUUUCAAUUAUAGCAAGCCGGCUAAUUAAUUGGUUAGGAUCCUAAGAAAUACUCGGCCAACUUGAGAUAGUCUAACCAUCUUUAGAACAAGCAUCAGUACUUGAAGUUAAUUUUAGUUGCCAAUAGCUUUAAAUAAUUAAUU